Non-coding RNA from Acanthosepion pharaonis, 97 nucleotides. The record is from the annotation of a GenBank genome assembly. Lineage: Eukaryota; Metazoa; Mollusca; Cephalopoda; Sepiida; Sepiidae.
UUGAAACACUGGUUCUUGUAUGAUCACCAAAGUUAAGCAACAUGGAACCUGGUCAGUACCUAGAUGGGUGACCAUUUGGGAAUACUAGGUGCUGUAA